Molecule: transfer RNA, 71 nt
Filed under: Bacteriophage sp.
Also listed under: 1 other name
Description: tRNA-Asn
Rfam family: tRNA
About the family: Transfer RNA (tRNA) molecules are approximately 80 nucleotides in length. Their secondary structure includes four short double-helical elements and three loops (D, anti-codon, and T loops). Further hydrogen bonds mediate the characteristic L-shaped molecular structure. tRNAs have two regions of fundamental functional importance: the anti-codon, which is responsible for specific mRNA codon recognition, and the 3' end, to which the tRNAs corresponding amino acid is attached (by aminoacyl-tRNA synthetases). tRNAs cope with the degeneracy of the genetic code in two manners: having more than one tRNA (with a specific anti-codon) for a particular amino acid; and 'wobble' base-pairing, i.e. permitting non-standard base-pairing at the 3rd anti-codon position.
Source: RNAcentral
UGGGAUAUAGCUCGAAGGUCGAGCGUGAGACUGUUAAUCUCUUGGUGAGAGUUCGAUUCUCUCUAUCCCAG